GGAGUCUAGCAUGUGCGCGAGUCAUUGGGACUCGACUAAACCUAAAGGCGCAAUGAAAGUGAAGGUCCGCCUCGCGCGGACCGAGGGAGGAUGGGCCGGCCCUCGGGCAGGCCCCGCACUCCCGGGGCGUCUCGUUCUCAUCGCGAGAAGAGGCGCACCCAGAGCGUACACGCUGGGACCCGAAAGAUGGUGAACUAUGCCUGGUCAGGACGAAGUCAGGGGAAACCCUGAUGGCUGUCCGUAGCGAUUCUGACGUGCAAAUCGAUCGUCGGAACUGGGUAUAGGGGCGAAAGACUAAUCGAACCAUCUAGUAGCUGGUUCCCUCCGAAGUUUCCCUCAGGAUAGCUGGCGCUCGCUGCGUGCGAGUCUCAUUCGGUAAAGCGAAUGAUUAGAGGCAUUGGGGUCGAAACGGCCUCAACCUAUUCUCAAACUUUAAAUGGGUGAGAUCUCCGGCUUGCUUAAACGGUGAAGCCGCGAGAUAUCGGAUCAAAGUGCCAAGUGGGCCACUUUUGGUAAGCAGAACUGGCGCUGUGGGAUGAACCAAACGCCGAGUUAAAGCGCCCAAAUCGACGCUUAUGGGAUACCAUGAAAGGCGUUGGUAACUUAAGACAGCAGGACGGUGGCCAU
RNAcentral lists this ribosomal RNA (627 nucleotides) under Acrossidius tasmaniae. RNAcentral describes it as "eukaryotic LSU rRNA". It matches the Rfam family "Eukaryotic large subunit ribosomal RNA", at positions 670 to 1255 of the family's 3401-position model. Lineage: Eukaryota; Metazoa; Arthropoda; Insecta; Coleoptera; Scarabaeidae. The record is from RNAcentral.